GAUGAACGCUGGCGGCGUGCCUAAUACAUGCAAGUCGAGCGAACAGACGAGGAGCUUGCUCCUCUGACGUUAGCGGCGGACGGGUGAGUAACACGUGGAUAACCUACCUAUAAGACUGGGAUAACUUCGGGAAACCGGAGCUAAUACCGGAUAAUAUAUUGAACCGCAUGGUUCAAUAGUGAAAGACGGUUUUGCUGUCACUUAUAGAUGGAUCCGCGCCGCAUUAGCUAGUUGGUAAGGUAACGGCUUACCAAGGCAACGAUGCGUAGCCGACCUGAGAGGGUGAUCGGCCACCCUGGAACUGAGCCACGGUCCAGACUCCUACGGGAGGCAGCAGUAGGGAAUCUUCCGCAAUGGGCGAAAGCCUGACGGAGCAACGCCGCGUGAGUGAUGAAGGUCUUCGGAUCGUAAAACUCUGUUAUUAGGGAAGAACAAAUGUGUAAGUAACUAUGCCCGUCUUGACGGUACCUAAUCAGAAAGCCACGGCUAACUACGU
This 496-nucleotide ribosomal RNA is filed under the name uncultured bacterium. RNAcentral describes it as "partial 16S ribosomal RNA". It matches the Rfam family "Bacterial small subunit ribosomal RNA", at positions 28 to 506 of the family's 1533-position model. The record is from RNAcentral.